Molecule: ribosomal RNA, 254 nt
Filed under: uncultured bacterium
Lineage: Bacteria
Description: partial 16S ribosomal RNA
Rfam family: Bacterial small subunit ribosomal RNA
Source: RNAcentral
UACGUAGGGUGCAAGCGUUGUCCGGAAUUACUGGGCGUAAAGGGCGCGUAGGCGGCCACCGCAAGUCGGUUGGGAAAUCUCUGGGCUUAACCCAGAAAGGUCAACCGAUACUGCGGGGCUAGAGUGCAGAAGGGGCAACUGGAAUUCUCGGUGUAGCGGUGAAAUGCGUAGAUAUCGAGAGGAACACCGGUGGCGAAGGCGGGUCUCUGGGCAGUAACUGACGCUGAGGAGCGAAAGCGUGGGGAGCGAACAGG